UACGUAGGGUGCAAGCGUUAAUCGGAAUUACUGGGCGUAAAGCGUGCGCAGGCGGUUUUGUAAGUCUGUCGUGAAAUCCCCGGGCUUAACCUGGGAAUGGCAUUUGGGACUGCAAGGCUCGAGUGCGGCAGAGGAGACUGGAAUUCCUGGUGUAGCAGUGAAAUGCGUAGAUAUCAGGAGGAAUACCGAUGGCGAAGGCAGGUCUCUGGGCUGACACUGACGCUCAUGCACGAAAGCGUGGGGAGCAAACAGG
RNAcentral lists this ribosomal RNA (253 nucleotides) under uncultured bacterium. Its description in RNAcentral is "partial 16S ribosomal RNA". It matches the Rfam family "Bacterial small subunit ribosomal RNA", at positions 524 to 776 of the family's 1533-position model. The record is from RNAcentral.